Molecule: long non-coding RNA, 765 nt
Organism: Cydia splendana
Lineage: Eukaryota; Metazoa; Arthropoda; Insecta; Lepidoptera; Tortricidae
Exons: 4
Source: RefSeq, a predicted model, not a curated record
AACACGUCAAUCGAAGUAAAGAAUUUAAUAUCCAAGAAAAAAAUGCUGAAUAUGUAAAGCAUCAUUUAUUAUAGAAUUAAAAUGAUAUACCAAUUAUACGGGUUACAUCUUAAAAAAGAUGAUUAUCUUGGAAAGGAUACACAGGUGAACAAAGUUAAGGAACGCGUGAAAAUCUAAAGUUUAAAUAAAAGAGAAGAAAUUUCCGAUGGCUGUGGGAAUGUAACAAAAUUUUAAAGUAGCGAUUUAAGAUAAUCAAUCAUCUACAAACACGUUUUCGGCCACAGCGAAUACGUUCACCACUAAGAAUGUCGGUGGUGCGCUCUCAAAGUAAAAAAAAAGAGUUCAAUGGACUGGCACUGGUUUCACCAAGAACGAUGAGCGAGAAGCGAUUGGAGCUAAAAACUAGAAAUAAGAUGGCGCGCGAGCAGUGAGAAGCGAGUAUAGUUCUGUUGCAACCGGAAAGCGAUGAUCACACGGCAAAUCAAAUCCUGAAGACUAUAGCAGCCACGUCAAAGAAAGAUAUACCUAUCUACCUACCUACCUACCUACCUAUUAAAAAAAAUGUUUAUUCUUUCUCGUUUGAUAUGUAAGAAUGUAUGUCAAUAAGAUGUUAUUAGUUAAGACUGCGUCGACCGUCCAAUGGCACCCUCAUUGGGGCAAUUAUGAUUUCUAAAAAAUACAAGGCAAUUAAUUAAACUAUCAUAUAAAUGAUCAUAUUAAUAUAAUAUGGGAUCCUAUUUGAAAGCAAUUUUACAAUCAUGAUCA